This 301-nucleotide ribosomal RNA is filed under the name uncultured bacterium. RNAcentral's name for it is "partial 16S ribosomal RNA". It matches the Rfam family "Bacterial small subunit ribosomal RNA", at positions 509 to 807 of the family's 1533-position model. The record is from RNAcentral.
CAGUCGCCACGGGAAUACGGAGGGUGCGAGCGUUAAUCGGAAUUACUGGGCGUAGAGCGUACGCAGGCGGUUUGUUAAGUCAGAUGUGAAAUCCCCGAGCUUAACUCGGGAACUGCAUUUGAAACUGGCAGGCUAGAGUCUCGUAGAGGGGGGUAGAAUUCCAGGUGUAGCGGUGAAAUGCGUAGAGAUCUGGAGGAAUACCGGUGGCGAAGGCAGCCCCCUGGACGAAGACUGACGCUCAGGUACGAAAGCGUGGGGAGCAAACAGGAUUAGAUACCCGAGUAGUCCCUGUCUCUUAUAC